This 1328-nucleotide ribosomal RNA is filed under the name metagenome. RNAcentral describes it as "bacterial LSU rRNA". It matches the Rfam family "Bacterial large subunit ribosomal RNA", at positions 1622 to 2925 of the family's 2925-position model. The record is from RNAcentral.
ACUGCGGAGUUUAUAGAUGUCCGUACCGGAAACCGACACAGGUGGGUGAGGCGAGCAGCCUCAGGUGAACGAGUGAAACGUGGUCAAGGAACUCGGCAUAAUGAUCCCGUAACUUCGGAAGAAGGGAUGCCAGAGAGGGUGUAGGGUACACCGAAGCUCUCCCUGGUCGCAGCGAAUCGGCCCAAGCGACUGUUUAGCAAAAACACAGGUGUGUGCCAAGCCGCACAAGGCGCCGUAUACACACUGACGCCUGCCCGGUGCCGGAAGGUUAAGGGGAGAGGUUAGCCGCAAGGCGAAGCUUUGAGCCGAAGCCCCGGUAAACGGCGGCCGUAACAAUAACGGUCCUAAGGUAGCGAAAUUCCUUGUCGGGUAAGUUCCGACCUGCACGAAUGGCGUAACGACUUGGGCACUGUCUCGACCACGUGCUCGGCGAAAUGGCAGUCUCGGUGAGGAUUCCGAGUCCCCGCGACAGGACAAAAAGACCCCAUGCACCUUUACUGUAGCUUGUCAUUGGUCGUUGCACAUCGCUGUGUAGCAUAGGUGGGAGGCGUUGAUCCGUGGGCGCUAGCUUACGGGGAGCCAUCAGUGAAAUACCACCCUGCGUCGUGCGACGCCCUCACCACGGCGGGAACACCCCGUCUGGGACCGUGGCAGGUGGGCAGUUUGACUGGGGCGGUCGCCUCCGAAACAGUAACGGAGGCGCGCGCAAGGUUGGCUCAGCGCGGACGGUACUCGCGCUUCUAGAGUGUAACGGCAGAAGCCAGCCUGACGGUGAGAUCGACGGAUCGAGCCGCCACGAAAGUGGGCCGUAGUGAUCCGGUAGCCCGGGGUGGAGCGGCUAUCGCGCAACGGAUAAAAGGUACGCUGGGGAUAACAGGCUUAUCGCGCCCGAGAGUUCACAUCGACGGCGCGGUUUGGCACCUCGAUGUCGGCUUAUCACAUCCUGGGGCUGGAGAAGGUCCCAAGGGUCCGGCUGUUCGCCGGUUAAAGUGGUACAUGAGCUGGGUUCAGAACGUCGUGAGACAGUUCGGUCUGUAUCCGUCGUGGGCGUUGGAGAGUUGAGGGGAGCGUACUCUAGUACGAGAGGACCGAGUCGGACGACCCGCUCGUGUCCCGGUUGUCCUGCCAAGGGCACCGCCGGGUAGCGAUGGUCGGCUGUGAUAACCGCUGAAAGCAUCUAAGUGGGAAGCACGCCCCAAGAUGAACUCUCCCGAGGCCUUGAGCCUCUUGAAGGGCCGGGGAAGACCACCCCGUCGAUAGGCCGCCCGUGGACGUCCCGCAAGGGAUUCCAAGCGCAGCGGUCCUAAUCGCCCGUAUGGCUUGACUAC